CCGAAGCCCAGGGAGGAGGCGGGGGAGCCCAGCUUGCGGCCAAGAACGGCCCAGCGGCGCCACGGGACUUGGGAAAGUUUGUGCGCGCUCCUCCGCGCCACGGCCACGCGCAGAGGAGACUCAGAGCCGGCCCCGGGCCCGGCCCGGAACCGCCACGCGCGGUUUAAGGGGAGUGGAGCAAUCUGUAGAGAUGUCCGUCUGAACCUCUGGAGCAAAGUCGCAGAAAGAAACAAGAGAAGAAAAUGAUGGGGGAAGGAAAGAAGGAACAGGGGACAGGGAUGGAAGUCAAGCUCAUCUGAACAGAACAAGAGUGACAGCUCGGUUUUAGAACCAUAAAAAUCUGAGAAGAGGCUGGGCGCAGUGGCUCACACAUGUAAUCCCAGCACCAUGAGAGGCCGAGGUGGGCAGAUCACCUGAGGUCAGGAGUUCAAGACCAGCCUGACCAACAUGGAGAAACCCCGUCUCUACUACAAAUACAAAAUUAGCCGGGCGUGGCGGCGCACACCUGUAAUCCCAUCUACUUGGGAGGCUGAGGCAGGAGAACUGCUUGAAUGCCAGAGGCAGAGGUUUCGGUGAGCCAAGACGCGCCAUUGCACUCCAGCCUGGGCAACAAGAGCAAAACUCCGUCUCAAAAAAACAACAAAAAAUAAUCAGAGACUCUCAACUCUACAAAUAAAACAUUCCACUUCUUUAUCUCAAUGCUGGCUAUAUGAGUGAGUUCAGUUAGUGAAAAUUCACUGAGCUAUAUACAUUAAAAAGUGCAUGUUUAUUAAACUUCCAUAAAAAGUUUACUUAGAAAAUGGAAACAAAUGUAUCUAACAAUGUCACAUCGGUGGCCUAAGCAUCAGAGAAUUAUGCAACUUUAAAACACAAUAAUUUGACAAUAUAAUCCAAAUGGGAUAUAUCCUAAUGUUAGUAUUUUAAGAAUAUAUUGUAUGAAAAAUACGUGCCAUGAAAAUGGCACUUACUCAUACGCUACAUACUCCCAAAAGUGUGUUUUAACAGGAAACUGUGGACAGACACAUGCUGAAUGUUUGUGAGAGUUAUCUGCAGGAGGGGGAAGCUCUGUAUUAUAUGAGGCUCUUUACUUUUCAAAGAUACCUCCAUCUAGAAAGGAAAUCAAAGAUGCUUAAGCUUCAUUGGCUACUACAAAUCAGUGAAAAGCAGAGUCACAAAAUUUAGAAUAGGUAAGCAAGUUAACAUCAUUAAGAACCAAGAUUUUAGUGUAAGAAAAUGAUACACAUUGAACUGACUGAUAUAUCUAAACACCAUCUCACGGCAGAGACUGGGGUUCCUUAGAAACAUGACUGACUCUAGGUCCAAGCAGAACACGGAUGAGGUGCAACACCCUCCUGUGACAGGCAGGAAGGGAGCAGUCACAGAGCAAGCGGUCACACCCAAACAUGACACAAGCCAACUUGGGUAGAACAACAGGAGCACCAAAAUACGGCUUCCACGGGUUGAAGCACGAUCACAUCCACAUCCACAGGUUUCUAAUACUGGGGGAAACGCUUCAAAAAUGAACUUCAACUUUGGAAGCUAAUAGUUUCAGUGCAUCCUAAACACUAUAAAGGAAAAAAAUCAUUCAUUUCUCCUUUCUCCCCAGCAGGAACCACAUUUCAGAACCUCCAAAACUGAUAUGGGAAAUCUUCUUUACGUAAGAAUAGAAUUAGAAAAAUCUUCACUUUGUAGUUGUCAGUUGUAGGCUGAACAAUGGCCUCCAAAGACAUUCAAGUCCUAAUUUCUGGAUUUGGAUAUGUUACAGACGAAUUAAGAAUCCUGAGACUGGAGAUCACUUUGGAUUAUAUGGGUGGGACCUAACCACAAUCCCCAGUGUCCUUUGGAUCAUGUGCUCCAAUGAUGGAGGAAGGGGCCACAGCCAAAAAAUGGCUGCCAUGAGCUGGAAAAGGCCAGGAAGCAGAUACUCUCCAGAGCUCCCUGAUGGCACCAGCUACCCAGACUCUAGACCAGUGAGACUGAUUUCAGCUAGUGUUGCAAUUUGGUACAGCAGCAAUAGGAAACUAAUACACCAACUAAAUAACGGGUACAAGCAACAAGCAAAUGGCCGUUAAACCCAGUAGAGAACUGGUUGAUAAAGAACUCUAUAAUUCAACCUACUGACACUGCACCCGACAUCGUGUGACCUGGUUGCUCAAUGUGCAACACAAAGCACUGUCUAGGGAAUAUCCUUGAAACCCGCCCCGCCCCCGCCAAAACCACCACCAACCUGAAACCAAUGAAGCACCCUGACCCAGCUACAGGAAAUACGAGGAUUAGAACACAUUAGACAGUGCUACAACACAGUCAACCAAAUCCCAAACUUGGGACAUUCCACAGCACAAAUGACCCUACUGCCUUCACAAAUAAAUGGCAUUAAAAACAAAAACAAAAAAAAAGGAAAAGAAUCUGCAAGUUAUAGAUUUUCAAAGAGCUAAGAGGCUUAAACCAAAUGCAAUGUGGAGACCUUCUUUGGAUUUCAAUUCAAGCAAACAAACUGUAAAAGGGCUUUAUAUGACAUUUGGAGAAAACCGAACACAAAAUAAAUAUUAGAUAAUAUUAA
Macaca mulatta (Rhesus monkey) is the source of this 2560-nucleotide non-coding RNA. NCBI's taxonomy places the organism in Eukaryota, Metazoa, Chordata, Mammalia, Primates, Cercopithecidae. The record is from RefSeq and is a predicted model, not a curated record.